AUGGCGGAGGCUGUGGUAGGGCAGGUGGUGGUCAAGCUUGGUGCGGCGCUGGCGAAAGACGCGCUCACGUUUGGCGCAAAACUGCUAUGGAAGGAAGCCUCCGCCCUCAGGGACCUCUUCGGCAAGAUCCGUGACUCCAAGGCAGAGCUGGAGAGCAUGCAGGCCUACCUGCAGGAGGCGGAGCGGUUCAAGGACACUGAUAGGACAACCGCCAUCUUCGUCGGCCAGAUCAGGGGCCUCGCCUUUCAGAUCGAGGACGUCGUCGACGAGUUCACCUACAAGCUGGAGGAGGAGAAGCAUGGGGGCUAUGCCGCCAAGAUGAAGAAGAGGCUGAAGCAUAUCAGGACAUGGCGCCGCCUGGCGGCCAAGCUCCAAGAUAUCCAAGCCAAGCUGCAGGAUGCUAAGCGGAGGAAGAAGGAUUACUCAAUUGACAGAUUUGUUUCUGCGGCCAGAUCGACGAAUCAAGCUCUGCAUUUCACCAGGGAUGAGGACCUUGUGGGGAUUGAGGAGAACAGGGAAAGGCUGAUACGGUGGCUGACCGGCGGAGGCGGUGGUGCUGAUGGUCUGGAGCAGAGGACCAGCAAAGUCACCACGGUGUGUGGGAUGCCUGGUGUUGGCAAGACCACUCUGGUUGCUCAUGUGUACAACACCGUGAAGGUGGAUUUCGACGCCGCUGCAUGGGUAACCGUGUCGCAGAAUUACCGUCUUGAAGACCUGCUGAAGAAGAUCGCCACAGAGUUCGGGGUCGCAGUUGAUAUCGCCAACAUUGAGAUGAGAGGCCUAGCAGAAUCCAUCCAUAACUACCUUCAAGGUAAAAAGUACAUCUUGGUCCUGGAUGAUGUCUGGACUGCACGCGUGUGGACAGAGAUAAGGAAUGUCUUCCCAACAUCUGAUCGUACCGGCCGAUUUGUCAUAACAUCAAGAAAGCAGGAAGUGUCGUUGUUGGCAACUAGGGAGUCUGCAAUUCAGUUGGAACCGCUACAAGAACGUCACUCUUGGUUGUUAUUCUGCCAAGGAGCUUUUUGGAAUGAUGACGACAAAGAGUGCCCGCUGGAGUUGCACAAAUUAGCGGUGAAGUUCAUUGCAAAGUGUCAAGGUUUGCCUAUUGCUCUUGCAUGCAUUGGCCGCCUACUCUCCAGCAAACUCCCAAAUUUUGCCGAAUGGGAGAAUGUGUACAGGGGUUUGGAUUCACAGUUGGUGAAAGACAUGCUCCCUGAUGUUGAUAUGAUUCUAAAGGUCAGCCUGGACGACCUUCCAUAUGAUUUGAAGAAUUGUUUCUUAUACUGUGCAUUAUUCCCAGAAGAUUAUGUAUUAAAGAGGAAGACGAUAAUGAGGCAGUGGAUUGCUGCUGGAUUUAUCAGGGAAAAGGAAGGGAACAGAACCUUGGAGGAAGUGGCCGAGGGAUACUUGGUUGAGCUCGUGAACCGAAGCCUACUGCAGGUAAUGGAGAGCAAUCAUGCCGGAUCACUGAAAUCCUACCGGAUGCAUGAUGUCAUACGCCUGCUUGCCCUCAACAAAGCCAAAGAGGAAUGCUUUGGUGAAGUUUGUAAUGGCUCUGCUGCCGGGGCAUUUUCUGCAGAGUGUGUACGUCGCAUAUUUGUCCAAGGGGAAAACCUUGAGCAGCUGAGACGAUCUGGUGCGACACAUAUCCGUGCGCUCCAUGUAUUUAAAUAUAGCAAUGUUGAUUUGCUGAAGCUUAUCCUAACAUCUUCAAAUUUGCUGUCAACAUUGGAUCUGCAAGGUUCUCGUGUCAAAAUGCUUCCCAAUGAGGUAUUCGACUUGUUUAAUCUGCGUUAUUUGGGACUUAGGGAUACCGAUAUUGAAAGCCUACCUGAAGCAGUGGGGAGGUUACAAAACUUGGAAGUCUUGGAUGCUACCAACGCUAAUCUGACGUAUUUGCCGAACAGUGUUGUAAAACUUCAGAAGUUGAGAUACCUGUAUGCAUAUACUGUUCCUGGUACAUUAGAGUCAUUAGAAAUUUUCAGGGUAGGUGGAGUCAACGUGCCUAAUGGAAUACAGCACUUGGCAGGAUUGCGUGCUCUCGAGUGUGUCAAAGCCACUCCAGUGUUUCUGCGUGAAGUUAGAGCUUUGACAGAGCUAAGAACAUUCACUGUGUGCAAUGUGAGAAGUGAACACUCUGCUGACUUGAGCAAUGCUAUCUCUAAAAUGAGCCAUCUUGUUCAUCUCGGAAUUGCCGCUGCAGCUGAGAAUGAGGUGCUGCGGUUUGAAGGGCUAUAUUUACCUCUAACCCUGUCUUGGCUUGGUUUAGCAGGACAGCUAGAAAAAACAUCGAUGCCAAAGCUUCUCUCUUCUUGGUCACACCUUAAUAGCCUCACUUGCUUGACCCUGGGAUUCUCCAAUAUUGAUGAGGACACAUUUUCCUGUUUGUGCGUGUUACAUGGUCUACGCUCUCUUGGGCUAAUGAAGGCUUUUGAAGGGAAGAGGUUGGACUUUUACGCAGGCUCAUUUCCAAAACUUCAGUUUCUACACAUAUGGGGCGCGGCACAGCUCAACCAAGUUAGAAUAGAGAAGGGCGCAAUGCAAAACCUCGUCGUGCUAUUGUUCAUGUACUGUCCCGAGUUGAAGUUUCUUCCAGAUGGUAUCGAAUAUCUUAGGGCCCUUGAAAAAUUACGUCUGGAGGACACAUCAGAAGAAUUGAUUGAGAAACUCCGGCGACAGAGAGAUUCAGAUGAAUGCAAUGAAGAUAUAAUGAAGAUUAGCCACAUAAGGAAUGUUACAGUUGAACUGACUCGGAAAGGACUGUUUGAAAGGAUUAGGUGA
Molecule: ribosomal RNA, 2781 nt
Filed under: Triticum aestivum (bread wheat)
Lineage: Eukaryota; Viridiplantae; Streptophyta; Magnoliopsida; Poales; Poaceae
Description: partial small subunit ribosomal RNA
Source: RNAcentral